ACGCCACAUCAAUCCAUUACUUCUAAAUUUGGAUGCCCAUAGAUUCAGAUAUAUGGUUACACAAUAACAUCAACGGAGGUACUCCCAAAUCCCAAUAACAUCCACAAAGUUUUGAAAAAUACUGUACAACCAUUUAGCAAGGAGAUGGGAACUCAUGACGAGAGGGAGUUGCUCGGAUGGUAAGCACCCCUCAUUUCCAACCCGAAGGUUGCGAGUUCGAGUCACCAAGGGAGCAAAAAGGGUGGGAGCUCCUGGGGAGGGGUAAAAAAAAAAAGGAGAUGGGAACUCAUGACGAGAGGGAGUUGCUCGGAUGGUAAGCACCCCUCAUUUCCAACCCGAAGGUUGCGAGUUCGAG
RNAcentral lists this long non-coding RNA (355 nucleotides) under Solanum tuberosum (potato). RNAcentral's name for it is "long non-coding RNA (STUB_LNC008250)". Lineage: Eukaryota; Viridiplantae; Streptophyta; Magnoliopsida; Solanales; Solanaceae. The record is from RNAcentral.